Molecule: transfer RNA, 51 nt
Filed under: Calochromus sp. UPOL A00617
Lineage: Eukaryota; Metazoa; Arthropoda; Insecta; Coleoptera; Lycidae
Description: partial tRNA-Ser
Source: RNAcentral
AUAAACAUUUAGCUUUUUAGGAAAUUAGAAGUUUCCUGUAAUUAUUUCUUU